Molecule: long non-coding RNA, 306 nt
Organism: Liolophura sinensis
Lineage: Eukaryota; Metazoa; Mollusca; Polyplacophora; Chitonida; Chitonidae
Exons: 3
Source: RefSeq, a predicted model, not a curated record
GUGGUAGCCAGGUACCCCAUAACAGGCGCAGCUAACUUUUAUGGACAGUUUUUAAACCAGUUCGAGGUGCUACCUUUAGGCAAUGACAGUUUGGAGGAUACGUUCUACACUUCAGAGCCCCACAUGUUUGAUGGUUGUAUCUAUCCAUCAGACUGUGCAGAUGUUCACAAUUGUGACCACACCAAGAGCGGAGUUUACCGAGUGUUUCCGUUUGGAGUCGGAUCAGGCUUCCUGGUGCAUUGCGAUAUGGUAACCAAUGGGGGUGGCUGGCUGGUGUUUCAGAGACGAAAAGACGGAUCCGUGGAC